AGCAGCCGCGGUAAUUCCAGCUCCAAUAGCGUAUAUUAAAGUUGUUGCAGUUAAAAAGCUCGUAGUUGAAUUUCGGAAUCGACGGAUUGGUCGCGCCUUCGGUGUGUACUGGUCUUGCCGGUUUCUCCCUUCUGACGAACCACGAUGUCAUUAAUUUGGUGUCGUGGGGAAUCAGGACUGUUACUUUGAAAAAAUUAGAGUGUUUAAAGCAGGCAUUAGCUUGAAUACAUUAGCAUGGAAUAAUGAAAUAGGACGUUUGAUCUUAUUUUGUUGGUUUCUAGGAUCGACGUAAUGAUUAAUAGGGAUAGUUGGGGGCAUUAGUAUUCAAUUGUCAGAGGUGAAAUUCUUGGAUUUAUUGAAGACUAACUACUGCGAAAGCAUUUGCCAAGGAUGUUUUCAUUAAUCAAGAACGAAAGUUAGGGGAUCGAAGACGAUCAGAUACCGUCGUAGUCUUAACCAUAAACUAUGCCGACUAGGGAUCGGAUGAUGUUAAUUUUUUAAUGACUCAUUCGGCGCCUUACG
This 522-nucleotide ribosomal RNA is filed under the name uncultured Glomeraceae. RNAcentral describes it as "SSU rRNA". It matches the Rfam family "Eukaryotic small subunit ribosomal RNA", at positions 569 to 1092 of the family's 1831-position model. The record is from RNAcentral. Lineage: Eukaryota; Fungi; Glomeromycota; Glomeromycetes; Glomerales; Glomeraceae.